AUUGAACGCUGGCGGCAGGCCUAACACAUGCAAGUCGAACGGUAACAGGAAGCAGCUUGCUGCUUCGCUGACGAGUGGCGGACGGGUGAGUAAUGUCUGGGAAACUGCCUGAUGGAGGGGGAUAACUACUGGAAACGGUAGCUAAUACCGCAUAACGUCGCAACACCAAAGAGGGGGACCUUAGGGCCUCUUGCCAUCGGAUGUGCCCAGAUGGGAUUAGCUAGUAGGUGGGGUAACGGCUCACCUAGGCGACGAUCCCUAGCUGGUCUGAGAGGAUGACCAGCCACACUGGAACUGAGACACGGUCCAGACUCCUACGGGAGGCAGCAGUGGGGAAUAUUGCACAAUGGGCGCAAGCCUGAUGCAGCCAUGCCGCGUGUAUGAAGAAGGCCUUCGGGUUGUAAAGUACUUUCAGCGGGGAGGAAGGGAGUAAAGUUAAUACCUUUGCUCAUUGACGUUACCCGCAGAAGAAGCACCGGCUAACUCCGUG
This 490-nucleotide ribosomal RNA is filed under the name uncultured bacterium. RNAcentral's name for it is "partial 16S ribosomal RNA". It matches the Rfam family "Bacterial small subunit ribosomal RNA", at positions 30 to 507 of the family's 1533-position model. The record is from RNAcentral.